Molecule: ribosomal RNA, 545 nt
Filed under: Broxylus pfeifferi
Lineage: Eukaryota; Metazoa; Arthropoda; Insecta; Coleoptera; Lycidae
Description: partial 16S large subunit ribosomal RNA
Rfam family: Archaeal large subunit ribosomal RNA
Source: RNAcentral
UUGCCGCAGUAUUUUGACUGUGCAAAGGUAGCAUAAUAAUUAGUUUCUUGAUUAGGAACUGGAAUGAAUGAUUGGACAAGAAAAUUACUGUCUCUUUCCAAAAAUUUUUAAAUUUUAUUUUUAAGUGAAAAAGCUUAGAUUUGUAUAAAAGACGAGAAGACCCUAUAGAGUUUAAUAUUCAGGGUUAAUUUAAAUUUAGUAAGUUAAUUAGCUUGGUCUAUUUGGUUGGGGUGACUUGAAGAUUUACAUAAUUCUUUAAAAAUUUAAUUGAUGAUGAUUAAUUUUAAAUCUUUAACUAAUAAAUAUAAAAUAAAUUACCUUAGGGAUAACAGCGUAAUUUUACUUUAAAGUUCACAUUGAAAGUAAAGUUUGCGACCUCGAUGUUGGAUUAAAAUUAAUUUUUGGUGCAAUAACUUAAAAAUUAGGUCUGUUCGACCUUUAAAAUUUUACAUGAUCUGAGUUUAAACCGGUGUAAACCAGGUUGGAUUCUAUCUUUAGAAAAAUAAUAUAUUUUAGUACGAAAGGACCAAAUAUAUGUUAAAUUA